CUCAAAGGAAUUGACGGGGACCCGCACAAGCGGUGGAGCAUGUGGUUUAAUUCGAAGCAACGCGAAGAACCUUACCAAAUCUUGACAUCCUUUGACCACUCUAGAGAUAGAGCUUUCCCCUUCGGGGGACAAAGUGACAGGUGGUGCAUGGUUGUCGUCAGCUCGUGUCGUGAGAUGUUGGGUUAAGUCCCGCAACGAGCGCAACCCUUGAUCUUAGUUGCCAUCAUUUAGUUGGGCACUCUAGGUUGACUGCCGGUGACAAACCGGAGGAAGGUGGGGAUGACGUCAAAUCAUCAUGCCCCUUAUGAUUUGGGCUACACACGUGCUACAAUGGAUAAUACAAAGGGCAGCGAAUCCGCGAGGCCAAGCAAAUCCCAUAAAAUUAUUCUCAGUUCGGAUUGUAGUCUGCAACUCGACUACAUGAAGCUGGAAUCGCUAGUAAUCGUAGAUCAGCAUGCUACGGUGAAUACGUUCCCGGGUCUUGUACACACCGCCCGUCACACCACGAGAGUUUGUAACACCCGAAGCCGGUGGAGUAACCUUUUAGGAGCUAGCCGUCGAAGGUGGGACAAAUGAUUGGGGUGAAGUCGUAACAAGGUAGC
This 602-nucleotide ribosomal RNA is filed under the name uncultured Staphylococcus sp. RNAcentral describes it as "bacterial SSU rRNA". It matches the Rfam family "Bacterial small subunit ribosomal RNA", at positions 900 to 1500 of the family's 1533-position model. The record is from RNAcentral. Lineage: Bacteria; Bacillati; Bacillota; Bacilli; Caryophanales; Staphylococcaceae.